CACGUAGGCGGAUCUUUAAGUCAGGGGUGAAAUCCCGGAGCUCAACUCCGGAACUGCCUUUGAUACUGAGGGUCUCGAGUCCGGGAGAGGUGAGUGGAACUGCGAGUGUAGAGGUGAAAUUCAUAGAUAUUCGCAAGAACACCAGUGGCGAAGGCGGCUCACUGGCCCGGUACUGACGCUGAGGUGCGAAAGCGUGGGAGCAAACA
Molecule: ribosomal RNA, 206 nt
Filed under: uncultured bacterium
Lineage: Bacteria
Description: partial 16S ribosomal RNA
Rfam family: Bacterial small subunit ribosomal RNA
Source: RNAcentral